GGCAGAGUGGCCGAGUGGUUAUGGCGCUGGUCUCAAGUGACAUCCAAAUAUGCACUUGGAAUUGCAAAAGCAGUUUUCCAGUCACGAAAGUGGCAGGGGUUCGAAUCCCCUCUCUGUCA
Cladobotryum mycophilum is the source of this 119-nucleotide non-coding RNA. The record is from the annotation of a GenBank genome assembly. Lineage: Eukaryota; Fungi; Ascomycota; Sordariomycetes; Hypocreales; Hypocreaceae.